RNAcentral lists this transfer RNA (72 nucleotides) under Florenciella parvula. RNAcentral describes it as "tRNA-Asn". It matches the Rfam family "tRNA". Rfam says of the family: Transfer RNA (tRNA) molecules are approximately 80 nucleotides in length. Their secondary structure includes four short double-helical elements and three loops (D, anti-codon, and T loops). Further hydrogen bonds mediate the characteristic L-shaped molecular structure. tRNAs have two regions of fundamental functional importance: the anti-codon, which is responsible for specific mRNA codon recognition, and the 3' end, to which the tRNAs corresponding amino acid is attached (by aminoacyl-tRNA synthetases). tRNAs cope with the degeneracy of the genetic code in two manners: having more than one tRNA (with a specific anti-codon) for a particular amino acid; and 'wobble' base-pairing, i.e. permitting non-standard base-pairing at the 3rd anti-codon position. The record is from RNAcentral. Lineage: Eukaryota; Dictyochophyceae; Florenciellales.
UCCUCAGUAGCUCAGUGGUAGAGCGUUCGGCUGUUAACCGAUUGGUCGUUGGUUCAAGUCCAACCUGGGGAG